AUGAGUGCAAGAGCUUGGGUAGUAGCAUCAAGCAUAGGAGCUGUGGAAGCCUUAAAAGACCAAUUUGGUGUAUGCAGGUGGAACUAUAUUUUUAGAUCACUUCAUCAACAUGCUAAGAAUAAUAUCAGAUCUUAUACUCAGGUUAAGAAAUUGUCAUCUUCUUCUUCUGCUGUUUCCAACAAGGUGAAAAGAACCAAGGAAGAAUCUAUGAAUAAAGUCAUGGAUUUGAAUUGCUGGGGUCCUAGCACUGCAAGGUUUUGA
RNAcentral lists this long non-coding RNA (261 nucleotides) under Vicia faba (fava bean). Lineage: Eukaryota; Viridiplantae; Streptophyta; Magnoliopsida; Fabales; Fabaceae. The record is from RNAcentral.